Molecule: ribosomal RNA, 448 nt
Filed under: uncultured bacterium
Lineage: Bacteria
Description: bacterial SSU rRNA
Rfam family: Bacterial small subunit ribosomal RNA
Source: RNAcentral
UUCCAGACUCCUACGGGAGGCAGCAGUGGGGGAUAUUGCACAAUGGGGGGAACCCUGAUGCAGCGACGCCGCGUGGGUGAAGGAGUGCUUCGGCAUGUAAAGCCCUAUCGGCAGGGAAGAAGCAAGACGGUACCUGACUAAGAAGCCCCGGCUAACUACGUGCCAGCAGCCGCGGUAAUACGUAGGGGGCAAGCGUUAUCCGGAUUCACUGGGUGUAAAGGGAGCGUAGACGGCGACGCAAGUCUGGAGUGAAAGCCCGGGGCCCAACCCCGGGACUGCUCUGGAAACUGCGUCGCUGGAGUACGGGAGGGGCAGGCGGAAUUCCUGGUGUAGCGGUGAAAUGCGUAGAUAUACGGAGGAACACCAGUGGCGAAGGCGGCCUGCUGGACAUUAACUGACGCUGAGGCGCGAAAGCGUGGGGAGCAAACAGGAUUAGAUACCCGGGUAC